This 506-nucleotide ribosomal RNA is filed under the name uncultured bacterium. Its description in RNAcentral is "partial 16S ribosomal RNA". It matches the Rfam family "Bacterial small subunit ribosomal RNA", at positions 29 to 523 of the family's 1533-position model. The record is from RNAcentral.
AGUGAACGCUGGCGGUAGGCCUAACACAUGCAAGUCGAACGGCAGCACAGGAGAGCUUGCUCUCUGGGUGGCGAGUGGCGGACGGGUGAGGAAUACAUCGGAAUCUACUUUUUCGUGGGGGAUAACGUAGGGAAACUUACGCUAAUACCGCAUACGACCUACGGGUGAAAGCAGGGGAUCUUCGGACCUUGCGCGAUUGAAUGAGCCGAUGUCGGAUUAGCUAGUUGGCGGGGUAAAGGCCCACCAAGGCGACGAUCCGUAGCUGGUCUGAGAGGAUGAUCAGCCACACUGGAACGGAGAUACGGUGCAGACUCCUACGGGGGGCAGCAGUGGGGAAUAUUGUCCAAUGGGCGCAAGCCUUAUUCAGCCAUACCGCGUGGGUGAAGAAGGCCUUCGGGUUGUAAAGCCCUUUUGUUGGGAAAGAAAUCCAGCUGGCUAAUACCCGGUUGGGAUGACGGUACCCAAAGAAUAAGCACCGGCUAACUUCGUGCCAGCAGCCGCCGUAA